GCCCGCCGCGGGUGCUGCCUUCGGCAGCAGCGGGUCGGCGGCGCGGCGGGACGGGCUCAGGGGUAACGGGUGUCCGUCAAUGGAUGCCGUUCCCCGCCCGUGCGGCGCGGAAGGCGCGAUGGCUGCCAUAACGCGAGUGCGGCGCGCUCGGUCCCCUCCGUGCUGAGCCGCGGCGGGUCCCUCAGGCGACUGGGGCUCGGGAGCUGCGGCUGGUGCGGCCCAGCUGCUGGCCCAGCGCCGCCAGCACAGGCAUGGCAACGGGAGGAACGUACUGCUCCGAAACGGGGAAAACGGGCGUCAAAAAGAGUUUGUGAAGCCGCAAGUUACCGAGUGACCUUUUGAAAUGAUGCACAUCAAGUACCUUCGAAAGCACUGACAGCUGGCUUGCAGCAGUAAUGGUGUUUGAGACGCUGUGGAUAUAAAAGCAGGCAAUGUUUGGGAAGAGGCAGUAUCUUUUCUCUUUAGGUUAACUAUAACGGAAAAGACUUUAAGGCAGUGGCUAUAAUAGUGCGGAAAGAUAGAUUUAAAGCUCACAAGCCAGUCUGCAGACCUGAAGCGAAAAAAAGAGGGUUCACUUGUGCCCAAGAUCUCCAUUCUUUUCGCUGUGUUGGUGGAGCUGCCUCUCAGCACAAAUCUCAUCCCGUAGUAACAGCAACGUUAAUUUAUCUCCAGAUUUGUCCUUACAAUUGCAGCAAUUCAUUCCCUCUGCCAGCGUCCCCUGUGAGGCUUUACAGAUGUGCUGCUACCAAACCAGACUUGCAAAGUCAACAUUAUAUUGCGCCACCAGGCACUACAGCCAAAAGGGGAGCUCUCUUAGUAUGUUCUGGGAAGUACUAACAUCUUAGUGACAUCAAAGCUAUUCAAGGAGAAGUGCUCCAUGUAAGAUUUAAACAUAUAUAUACGCCAAACAUUUGUAUUCAUACAUCAGAAAAGAGAGAAACUGAAGACUUCAGUGGUGUUUUUGAUGAGGCAAGCAAAUGAACCCCGCACCACAGAAAGUGAUGAGUUUCACAGCAUUCAUACAGAUCUGCUCUUUUUAAUGGU
RNAcentral lists this long non-coding RNA (1044 nucleotides) under Strigops habroptila (Kakapo). RNAcentral describes it as "lncRNA (ENSSHBG00005012602.1)". Lineage: Eukaryota; Metazoa; Chordata; Aves; Psittaciformes; Psittacidae. The record is from RNAcentral.